UGGCCGUGUGUCCCUGUUUGCGGCAGAGUA
Molecule: small RNA, 30 nt
Filed under: Bombyx mori (domestic silkworm)
Lineage: Eukaryota; Metazoa; Arthropoda; Insecta; Lepidoptera; Bombycidae
Description: ovarian small RNA-34835
Source: RNAcentral